Molecule: ribosomal RNA, 593 nt
Filed under: Fusarium solani
Lineage: Eukaryota; Fungi; Ascomycota; Sordariomycetes; Hypocreales; Nectriaceae
Description: eukaryotic LSU rRNA
Rfam family: 5.8S ribosomal RNA (bases 207-360)
Source: RNAcentral
UGGAAGUAAAAAGUCGUAACAAGGUCUCCGUUGGUGAACCAGCGGAGGGAUCAUUACCGAGUUAUACAACUCAUCAACCCUGUGAACAUACCUAAAACGUUGCUUCGGCGGGAACAGACGGCCCUGUAACAACGGGCCGCCCCCGCCAGAGGACCCCUAACUCUGUUUUUAUAAUGUUUUUCUGAGUAAACAAGCAAAUAAAUUAAAACUUUCAACAACGGAUCUCUUGGCUCUGGCAUCGAUGAAGAACGCAGCGAAAUGCGAUAAGUAAUGUGAAUUGCAGAAUUCAGUGAAUCAUCGAAUCUUUGAACGCACAUUGCGCCCGCCAGUAUUCUGGCGGGCAUGCCUGUUCGAGCGUCAUUACAACCCUCAGGCCCCCGGGCCUGGCGUUGGGGAUCGGCGGAAGCCCCCUGUGGGCACACGCCGUCCCUCAAAUACAGUGGCGGUCCCGCCGCAGCUUCCAUUGCGUAGUAGCUAACACCUCGCAACUGGAGAGCGGCGCGGCCAUGCCGUAAAACACCCAACUUCUGAAUGUUGACCUCGAAUCAGGUAGGAAUACCCGCUGAACUUAAGCAUAUCAAUAAGCGGAGGAA